This 120-nucleotide ribosomal RNA is filed under the name uncultured bacterium. RNAcentral's name for it is "partial 16S ribosomal RNA". It matches the Rfam family "Bacterial small subunit ribosomal RNA", at positions 29 to 159 of the family's 1533-position model. The record is from RNAcentral.
AACGAACGCUGGCGGCAGGCCUAACACAUGCAAGUCGAACGCCGUAGCAAUACGGAGUGGCAGACGGGUGAGUAACGCGUGGGAACAUACCCCUCGGUUCGGAAUAACUCAGGGAAACUU